Molecule: ribosomal RNA, 340 nt
Filed under: uncultured fungus
Lineage: Eukaryota; Fungi
Description: eukaryotic LSU rRNA
Rfam family: 5.8S ribosomal RNA (bases 1-52)
Source: RNAcentral
AACGCACCUUGCGCUCCUUGGUAUUCCGAGGAGCAUGCCUGUUUGAGUGUCGUGAAAUUAUCAACUCUCUUUCUUUUCGAAGUAAGAUGAGAUUGGACUUGGGGAUUGCUGGUUUCACCUUGAAGCGAGCUCCUCCCAAACGUAUUAGUGGGGUCUGCAUUGUCGGUCCUUGGCGUGAUAAGUUGUUUCUACGUCUUGGAUUUUUGGCGCUGUACACCUGCUUCUAACCGUCUUCAUUGACAACGAUGGUGUUCCGGUCGCCGCCGAUUUUUCGGUGGGAGGCUUGACCCACGAAACAAACCUUGACCUCAAAUCGGGUGAGACUACCCGCUGAACUUAA